GAUGAACGCUGGCGGCGUGCCUAAUACAUGCAAGUCGAGCGAACAGAUGAGGAGCUUGCUCCUCUGACGUUAGCGGCGGACGGGUGAGUAACACGUGGAUAACCUACCUAUAAGACUGGGAUAACUUCGGGAAACCGGAGCUAAUACCGGAUAAUAUAUUGAACCGCAUGGUUCAAUAGUGAAAGACGGUUUUGCUGUCACUUAUAGAUGGAUCCGCGCCGCAUUAGCUAGUUGGUAAGGUAACGGCUUACCAAGGCAACGAUGCGUAGCCGACCUGAGCGGGGUGACGGGCAAAACUGAACUGGAACAAGGGCCAAAAUCCUUAGGGAGGCAAGAAGAGGGGAGCUUCCGCAAAGGGCGAAAACCCGACGGGGGAAAGCCGGGGGGAGGAUGGAAGGUUUUGGAUCGGAAAACUCUUGUAUUAGGGGAAGACAAAUGGGGAAGGAACUAUGCACCUCUUGACGGGUCCCAAACAAGAAGCCACCGCAUAAUAACGG
This 497-nucleotide ribosomal RNA is filed under the name uncultured bacterium. RNAcentral describes it as "partial 16S ribosomal RNA". It matches the Rfam family "Bacterial small subunit ribosomal RNA", at positions 28 to 507 of the family's 1533-position model. The record is from RNAcentral.